This 756-nucleotide ribosomal RNA is filed under the name uncultured bacterium. RNAcentral's name for it is "bacterial SSU rRNA". It matches the Rfam family "Bacterial small subunit ribosomal RNA", at positions 8 to 796 of the family's 1533-position model. The record is from RNAcentral.
AGAGUUUGAUCAUGGCUCAGAAUCAACGCUGGCGGCGUGCCUAACACAUGCAAGUCGCACGAGAAAGGGGAGCAAUCCCUGAGUAAAGUGGCGCACGGGUGAGUAACACGUGAAUUAUCUACCUCCGAGUGGGGAAUAACCUAGAGAAAUCUGGGCUAAUACCGCAUAACACUUACGAGUCAAAGCAGCAAUGCGCUUGGAGAGGAGUUCGCGGCCGAUUAGCUAGUUGGCGGGGUAAUGGCCCACCAAGGCGAUGAUCGGUAUCCGGCCUGAGAGGGCGCACGGACACACUGGAACUGAAACACGGUCCAGACUCCUACGGGAGGCAGCAGUGGGGAAUUUUGCGCAAUGGGGGAAACCCUGACGCAGCAACGCCGCGUGGAGGAUGAAAUAUCUUGGUAUGUAAACUCCUUUCGAUGGGGAAGAUUAUGACGGUACCCAUAGAAGAAGCCCCGGCUAACUUCGUGCCAGCAGCCGCGGUAAUACGAGGGGGGCAAGCGUUGUUCGGAUUUAUUGGGCGUAAAGGGUGCGUAGGCGGUUUGGCAAGUCUUAUGUGAAAUCUUCGGGCUCAACCCGAAGCCUGCAUAAGAAACUGCCGGGCUUGAGUAUGGGAGAGGUGAGUGGAAUUUCCGGUGUAGCGGUGAAAUGCGUAGAUAUCGGAAGGAACACCUGUGGCGAAAGCGGCUCACUGGACCAUAACUGACGCUGAUGCACGAAAGCUAGGGGAGCAAACAGGAUUAGAUACCCUAGUAGUCC